This 207-nucleotide ribosomal RNA is filed under the name uncultured bacterium. RNAcentral describes it as "partial 16S ribosomal RNA". It matches the Rfam family "Bacterial small subunit ribosomal RNA", at positions 568 to 774 of the family's 1533-position model. The record is from RNAcentral.
CGCGUAGGCGGUUUGUUUAGUUAGGCGUGAAAUUCCUGGGCUUAACCUGGGGACUGCGCUUAAUACAGGCAGACUUGAGUUCGGAAGAGGGUCGUGGAAUUCCCAGUGUAGAGGUGAAAUUCGUAGAUAUUGGGAAGAACACCGGUGGCGAAGGCGGCGACCUGGUCCGAUACUGACGCUGAGGCGCGGAAGCGUGGGGAGCAAACA